UCGGCUGCGUGGCACCGUACGUAGUUAUGCUCGCACGCGCCGACGGCAUCCACGCCACCCUUGUUCUCUCGCACGCGAAGCGGCAGGGCGACAGUGCACCCGGGGCGGUUUGGUCGUAGUUUGGGAUAGGGUGAGGAAACCAGAACCGCCGAAACCGCGAAACGUAGAGAGGGUCGGGGUCAGCAGCAGCCGCGCCGGCGUCUUAGGCUCUAAUCCCAGGCGCCAGCUCUUCUUCCUCCGCCGCUACUACCGGACGGCCGAUGCCGAGGUGGUCGAAUCCGACCAACCUCAGGCCGGCUGGACGACGAAAGGCAGGUCCUUGAACCGCCGACAGUUUAGGGUCUUUUAGGUCGGGGGUUUCUUCUUUUUCGCUAACCUACUCCGCACGGAACUCUCCAUAGUUGUUAUGUCAUCUUGCAUGUAGGUCAGUACCUAAGAAGUCCCAUUCCAGGUACAUUUGCCUUCCCAGCACUUGUUUCGACCUUGUGUUCAUAGACUGUUCAGUCAGUAUCUUUAGUUCCGACUUUAGGGCUUUAUACAUACAUCCCGACCCGUAUUCGAACUCCGUCGAUAGUUUCUUAAACCUCAACUGACACUACCUUUCUAUCGGGAACUAAGUCCCGACAGAUGUCCACCAAAAUGGCUGACAAAUGAAGUCGUACCCCGUAGUGUACACAUGCCACAACUACAACCGAUACCUGUCCACCGACUUUUUUAAGCACACGUACUUUUACAGAGUCAUUAACUUGCAUGUUUGAACUCUGUAGAAUGAUUCGACGGUGUUGACCAACUGGACCACUGCAACCUGGAUAGUAAGUAGAGUUAAGAACACCAAUACGGACGUCACCAGUUUCAUUACUUCUGUCUGAGUUGUAACUAUUGUGAAUAGUUUGGAGUCAAACUUCGAGCAUCUAGAGUCCAUCCUUUUCCACCCUAAUAAGCUCUGGGAGACCAAGUAUUCCUCCACAAUCUAUCCUAUUAAAGUCCGCAACUCGUCAAACCUAAAGCGUUACCCCCGACCUAGCUCAGAGGCGACUUCCCGCGUCUUCCCUUGUGUCUCAAAGAACGGACGAAGCUCUCCUAGGGUUACGGUCUCGGUGUGUGACUCCGUCUUCGUCCCCGUCUCCGUCUCCGUCUCCGCCGCCGCGUCCGCCUCCGUCUCGGUCUCCGUCACCAACUUCGUGUCCGUGUCCGUCUCCGUCUCGGUCUCGGUCUCCUUUGUACUAAGAAUAAUAAUACAGGUGCCGUACCGUUCAAAAAAAAUCUCUUAUCGACCUCUUAGGACUUCAUCUGGUUCCUUCAAUAUUCUCUAAUCGUACGACACUAUACUCUCUAGGAGUUAGUUCAAUAUGGCUCUAAAAAAACGUAUACGACAACGCUUCGAGUUUUUAACGUAAGACGUUCUGGCUGUUUCCUCUAAGUCUGUACUGUCCGUCCAUGAGUCAACAUAUGUUUUAGCUUUACCUUACUUUGUUAAUCGAGGUCACAAAAAAAAAUAAAAAUAAAAUAUAGAAUCGUAUCGUAUGCCCUACACGAGGGACACGUGGCUCUUCCAUCUUGUGUCAAGGCGAAUGUCAGAACAUGGAAAACACUAAAACGAUGCUUCCGCUUAUGUAAGUGGCGUCAAGCAAGGUGACUAGACUGCUUCGCUAAACUUGACCUUUUACAAGUUCUACUAC
This 1679-nucleotide ribosomal RNA is filed under the name Triticum aestivum (bread wheat). Its description in RNAcentral is "partial small subunit ribosomal RNA". The record is from RNAcentral. Lineage: Eukaryota; Viridiplantae; Streptophyta; Magnoliopsida; Poales; Poaceae.